AUUUACUGUGUAAUCUAUUCAGAGCAUUUGCCUUGUAUGGCACUGUUUUUGUUCUGUUUUUGUCAGUAGUGUCAAUUUUCUGUUCAAAGUUUGUUUACAUAUCUAGUCUGAUUUUGCUCAUCUUAGCAUAAAGGGUUUUUUUGGUUUUUUUUGUGGUGGUUAACGUGGACCCAGUGGCUACAAACAUUUCAGACAGAGUUAAUUCCUUAGGUAUGAACCAAUGCUUCUGUCUUUCUCAGUCUGAAACAACUGGUCUCCAUUUAUAUCGCCUACAUAAAAGGCAGUAGUGAGUUUUAGAUUUACUGCCCAUUUGGAAACAAGAAUGAAAUUUGAGUCUUUUAGCCAAAAGAGGUGUUGCACUGUUCCAUUGCUUCAAAGAAUACAUCUCUGAGCCACAGUACAAAAGAUAAAGGUACAACCUUUUAUAAAGACGACCUUUCAUUUAUUUUCAGCUUUACGAAAACAGUCUGUUAGGAAAAGUAUUAAAGACAAAAAUUGCCAAAAUUACCAAAGAACUAUUUUAAUGUAUAAAUACAAAAUGAAGAAUGUGAAAUACCAAAGUGUUUAUCUUCUUAGCAGUAGAAUGCCGUUUGAUGUGCACUGGAACAUACAUUAAACUCCUGGUUACAGAAUGUCCCCUACGUGGUUUACACAGCUCAUCUCUCUGUGAGCAAAGCAUCUCUUGGAAAAUUGUUUAGUAAUUAUUAAGGCUGUUCUUUUUCUUUGUGAGCGCCAUUUUCGUGUGAAAAUGUGUUUAACUUUAAACCAAAGUUUGUUGUUAGAGUAAUAUUUAAAGACAUUGUAUUAGAAAAUUCUAUUAGUUUUAUAGAACAUAUUUAAUCAUCCAACCUCUCUGUUAUACAGUUUGGAGUCAACAUAAUAAAAACACUUUUUUUGUUAUUUUAAUAUUAAUUCAGACCAAAGAAUUAAAGAAUGUCAUGAUUGGGAAUUUCAAUUAUUGCAAGUAGGCAAACUCGCUCACCCUGUGGCCUAAACAAUCAGUGUUCCUCUUUAUUAACCCUCCAUGUGCCAAAGGGAUGAGAGUGCACUCAUGUUUCGGUAGCUUAAAAAGGACCUGGGAAACUACAAAAACAGGUGAUACCUCAAUAAUAAAAAAAAACUAUUAACAGCUAUAUUUAUGGGUUAAUUUCUUUACAAAAGCUGCAAACCAAAGCUGAUUAGACAUCCUUUUUGUUUUAGUGAUUUUUUUAUUUUUUUUAUUCACUCCAACCUGCAUUAGAUGUUCGUUUCUGCUUCUCUGGUGUUUAAUGAUUCAUACCUGCUUCACUUUGAUUUUUCACAGGAUUUGAUCUUUAGAGGUGUUCCGACAUUAAAUCUCUCAUCUGUGGGAUUAUAUGUCACGUUGUAUUGGUGCCAAACUGUGCUGAAACACUCCUAACUACCUCGACUAAAGGAAUGUCCUUACUGCAUUCUGUAUCUUGGGAGUCCCUGACCGUUAAUAAUGUCUGAUUGAUGUUCAGUAAAGAUAUCUCUUCUUCUAACAGCCAAGGGACAGCUGUUGUGGUUAAUCAUUAAGGAGUGGAUGUCAUUAGUACUGUCAUUAGAGAACUUGUAAUUUUGAAAACCGAAAUUAAAUAUGCCCAAUCCAUUUAUCUCUGAUUGUUUAAACCUUCCUGAGAUGCAAGUGUAGCUUCAGAAAAAAAAAAGAAUAUGGUGGAAAAAGAUUGUUACCCUUUUAAAGCCUUCUCACCCGCAACCACCAGAUUUUAUACAGAGAAAAAAUAAGGGAAAACAGUUUGCAGUAUUGGACUGUAGGAAUGUGAAUAAUUCUUUAUUUCUUUAUGUAUAAAAGAUUUCAAUCAAACUGUUUUCUUUUGUGAUUUCAUACAGUUGUAACACACUUUACAUUGCAGAACCAAUGAAGAAUUUAGUGUGUUUGUUCAUUGCCAUUGGAUGUGGUACAUGUUGUCACUAGGGUAAAUCCAUUGAAAUUAAGAAAAUUAAGGGAGUUGCAGUUAGCCAAAAGUACAUAAUGGUAAAUGAAGACAAUACAAUGUGUGUGUGUGUGUGUGUGUGUAUGUAUGUAAUGAAAACAAAAAUAGUAUUGCAUUAUGCAGUGAUACCUUGUUUAAAUGAACAAACAUAUUGAAAGCUAAGUACUUUUAAUAUGCAGAGUUAGUCUAAUUAAAAAAAGAUCUCUGUGGUGUGAUUUUUUUGAAUUUAACAUAAUUUGCUAUCUAGGAUUAACUUCUUUCGGUGGUACACUCCUGCCCUAAAUUAUCGCAUAAUUAUGUGAUUGUUCUUUGUGAUAUUGCAUUUAUUAUAAAGUCAUGCAUGCAUUAUAUUCCUAUAUUUAAACAAAUAAUAUGUAAGAAGGGAAAAAGCUAGCACUGCAUACUGCAAUAUUCUUUUUUUUUUUUUUGCCAUCUGAAUUUCUUAAUUAACAUGCCUACACUAUUCUAGACACACAGAGGCAUAUAUACACCUACAAUCUAGGCAAUGAGCACUCUAAACCAGUUUAAAUGUGACAUUGUCCAUUUUCUCAUGAUUGUAUGUAAACUAUGUUUAAUCCAUCAAAAUGAUCAAGAUUACACUGCAGUUUUUUCAUUAACAUGGCAUGCUAAGUGUCUUCUUUGUAUUUUGUUUUGAAUACAUUUAUACAUACAUUGUUUUGAAUUUAAACACCCAGGCACAACUAGGGAUAGCCCCAAAUGUAAAGAAAAAUGUAAGAAAGUUAUAGUGGAGACCGCCACAAUUUCAAUCUAAACACGCAUACUUAAUAUAAAUACACAGAUCUAGAUCACUGCUGUUCUGUAUCUAUAUAGCUGCAUACACCCAAUUACACACAAACCAACUUGUUUCAGCAAUUUCAGCAACUUUUUCCAGCACCCUUUUUAAACCCUAUGAGGAACAACAAAUGUGAAACACAGCUAGUAAAUUGUAUGUAAUUCUGUAAUUGACUGGCUUGAGCUGUGGAUUUAGGUCAGGAAAUGAAUACAUCAUAAUAAAGAAUUCUCUAUUGGCAUAAAAGGGCUUAUCUUGCAAUGAAACACAAGCGUUGUGUGUUACUCAAGGGGUUAGUGUUAGAGGCAUACCACUUCCAAACAAUGCUGGCUUUGUGGAUGUAAUUAUUUCCAAGUGUUUUGGACUAAAACUGCCAGAUCCGUUAUGGGGUAUGUCCCUUUUCUCUGACAAUAUCACCUUGUUUAUACCCCGCUUGGUUUGCAUCUUAAAAUUCUGGAAUUUGAAUCCCUACCUAAAAAUAAUGAUGUUCUUCUAUUUUGACUUUCACAGAAUUGCUGUUUUAGAGCUUAGACUUGCACACUGUGUACAGCUUUCUGUCUACCGUGUCUCAUAUUUACAUUUUUUUUUUUCUUUCUGAUGGAUGGUGUAUUUGUGGUGCAGUGUGGAUAUGAUGUACUUUUUUUAAGGCCUUUGAAAUGUCAUGGGUUUUAAAAUGCACUACGAAAACUGAAGAAUGUGUUUACUUGUAAAUGUAAUGCGAUUUAAAAAAAAAAAAAAAUCUUGCAUCAUUUUAAACUUUGGAAUAAAGAAGUGAUGUGUAUCUCUGAUUCAAUCUUUACUGGGUAAUUUCCUUUUUUUUGUACAUUUUCUGAGUUUUGAUGACCUUUUGUUUAAUUGAUUUGUGCUACUUUUAUAUCAGAUAUUACUACAAUACAUAAUCAUUAGUUGUAUCUAUUAUGUUUGGAGAAUCAACAGCAUACUGCAGGUCUAGAUCCUCUGAAACACAACUUAAAGAAGAACUGUCACAUCUGAGGUUUUUGCAAAACCUGAUCACUAACUGAAAGCUAGCUAUGGGUUGUAUUAUUUCUAAUUAUUGAAUUGUAUACCAUUAUUAUUUUUUAAUUUACAUUACAAACCAAUGGGUGCUCAGGAGGUAAGUUGUUUUUUUUUGUUUCUUGUUUUCAUACACUUCCCCUCAGCUGCACUUCUUACCACAGUAAAUGUGUAAGUAAAGUUUACAGAGGAGAUGAGAAAUGUUUCCUCUCAGAGAAGUGACAGCUCUUCUUUAAUUUGUCAGACACAAACACAAUGACACAGUAGGACACAGCUUGCACUCUAAUGACCAUUAACAAAUAUACAUAUUUUGUCGUGUAAUAAACUAUUGACUGAAAAAUAAAAUGAUGGUAUUUGUCUUCUCGGUAACAAAUAUUUUAUAUCUAAAUGUAAAGAUAAAGAUCAAUAUUCCAUUUAUUUACAGUAAAAAAACAAGUGUGUGUGUUUGUGUGUAUAUAUACAUACAUGCGCACCAAUUUUUUUCACUUUAUGUGAAAUGCAAAUUAUGUCAUGUAAGACCAAUUACAAGAAUUUGUUAGGUCUUUUUGUUUAUAACCUGAAAUAUAAAUUCUGGUACUACAGCUGGUGUAAAUUGUCCUGUCUACACCAAUAUUUUUUUUUUAUGGACCAGGUUUACAUCCAUAAUACUAGCUUUAAAGUUGUAAUGCAUUCCCUCACCACUAGGGACACAAAGCCCUGGCUCCCAAUAGUUAAUAUCCUUAGGGGAAAAAGUUAAUGACCUCAACAUUAACAGUGUGUGCAACAUGUUCGUCAUCAAUUAGAACUUAAUAAUGUUUUUUGCUAUUACUGUGUAUUCUCUAUUUACAUUCAUUGUGUUGUGUGAUUUUGUUCAUCUUUGUAGAAUAAUCAUCUAAAGCCAUAAAAAAAAAAAAAAAAAAUCCUGUAUCCCAUUGGUUACUAAAUGUUCAGCCAUUCAACCUUCCAUCGCUUUUUUUUAUUUUUUUUUAUGUGUAUAUAUAUUUUUUUACUGUAUGUGAUCAUAGAUGUCUAUCUCAUGCUUCUUCUAUGCUCGAAUAUCUUACAUUUCACUAUUCCAACAUGAAGUGCUGGCUUGCUCGUAUGAAUUACAUUUUCCAAAAAGUGGUACUGCAUCCUCUUUAGGACGUUCUUGUCAGACCGUGUUACGCUCUCUGUAACCAUUUCUACCUCAUUUUGCAAAGUCUUGUACAUGAAGUAUUUAUUUCAUGUCUUUUUAAAGUUGGGAUGCUCUUGAGCUGUAAUGGUCUACCUCAAAAAUACUGUAUUUUGAAAAAACAAAAAAAGUAUUACACAGUAUUAAAGAGAUUAU
Pelobates cultripes (western spadefoot toad) is the source of this 5068-nucleotide non-coding RNA. NCBI's taxonomy places the organism in Eukaryota, Metazoa, Chordata, Amphibia, Anura, Pelobatidae. The record is from the annotation of a GenBank genome assembly.